CGGGGCUGCUGCCCUGGACGAGCCUGCGACCCGCGGGCCCGAAGGAGAAGGACGAGGCGGUGAGGAGAAGCUGAGGAACUUAACUUUCCGGAAGCAGGUCUCGUACAGAGCGGUCUGCAACUGGAGAGUGUGAUGAAGAUGGCAGGUCCCUCGGAGCCUUCCCCCACAUGGAGGGUGAAGUUAAGUGGAGACGUUGCCUCAGCUCAGACUCUCAAGUCUGUUGAUUACACCAUUAAAUUAGAACAGUGCCUGGGACAUCGGUAAGUAUAUUCUAUUAUUAUCUUUAUU
This 288-nucleotide long non-coding RNA is filed under the name Camelus dromedarius (Arabian camel). Its description in RNAcentral is "lncRNA (ENSCDRG00005002387.1)". Lineage: Eukaryota; Metazoa; Chordata; Mammalia; Artiodactyla; Camelidae. The record is from RNAcentral.